CGCGAGAUUUACACUUCCACUUGCCACUCUUCAGGAGGAGGAAUCACGCGGGUCCUGAGAGAAAUCUUCUCUAUGUUCCAAAUCUGUAUUUGUCCACAGAUGGAUUCAUUCAAACCUCCGUGACCAGGUAAUGGAUGCUUGGAGAUAUUCUCAACUUGAAGGCUGGAGUUUGACCCUCAGGUCAAGAACUGGCUGCUGAAACGUGGUGAUGCUCCACUUGGACACCACUGAGGCGUUAUGGGAAAGGUGCUGUGAGAACUACAAAGUGGAAAAAGGACGUAUCAGAAAUCCGAGACAAGACUUUGCCAGCAAAUCGGAGUGGAAUUGAAAUGUUAUUGAUGCACAAGAGAAUUUUUCAGCUAAAUACUGAGUAGUAGCAUCUAGACUGGUAGAGCUACAAUAAGUUGCUGCAUACGUUGCAAGACUUGUGCUUUCUAAGGAGUCUACAAAAGCAAUUUAGCCAUAAAGAAUCAUAAAUAACACUUUAUUUUUUUGUACAAAAGUUUAAACAUGACUUACAAAAACAAUUUAAAAAUAAAAACAACUAUCAAUCUGUUAA
Molecule: long non-coding RNA, 559 nt
Organism: Boleophthalmus pectinirostris (great blue-spotted mudskipper)
Lineage: Eukaryota; Metazoa; Chordata; Actinopteri; Gobiiformes; Gobiidae
Exons: 5
Source: RefSeq, a predicted model, not a curated record